Molecule: ribosomal RNA, 236 nt
Filed under: uncultured bacterium
Lineage: Bacteria
Description: partial 16S ribosomal RNA
Rfam family: Bacterial small subunit ribosomal RNA
Source: RNAcentral
CACGUAGGGCGCAAGCGUUGUCCGGAAUUAUUGGGCGUAAAGAGCUCGUAGGCGGUUUGUCGCGUCGGGAGUGAAAACCCAGGGCUUAACUCUGGGCUUGCUUUCGAUACGGGCAGACUAGAGGUAUGCAGGGGAGAACGGAAUUCCUGGUGUAGCGGUGAAAUGCGCAGAUAUCAGGAGGAACACCGGUGGCGAAGGCGGUUCUCUGGGCCUGUACUGACGUGAGGAGCGAAAAG